UGGUGCUAAAUAGGUAGAACACAUGGCUGUAUUAUUGUUAACAAAAAAAUACAUGGAUCUGAUUUUCUUCUAGAAUAGGUAAGUGUAUGUCUGUGUUAAAAACUCCUCUGGAUUUUCUAAGACAUGGAUGCCAUUAUUAUAGAAUGCUUAAUAUCAUUAUUAGCCUCUUUUUUUUUUAAAGCAGCAUUAUAAUUGGGUAGAUACCUACAGAUGAGGAAACAGCUGAGGUUUGUGGUUUGUUGCUCCAGCUGUAAAUUGAGCUAACAGUAGACAAUCUUGGGCCAGCAGUUUGGAAAUUCUAAUAAUGUUAAGCCAAAGCCUGUCUUUAUACACACGCAAGUCAAUGCUGUGCUGCCUGUGGAGCUGUAUGUGACUUCUAGCACAACCUUGCAGUAGUACCAGGGGAACAGAGGAGGGACAUUCUACGGUUUAAAAGUAUCAACUGGAUUAGCCCAUUCUCAUUACAAAUAUAGAACAAGUGCACAGAAGCAUCUGGAGGCUGAAAAUCAUGCGCAGAAUUGGUUCAUGAUUCAUUCUGACUUAGGCCCAUACUUCUUUUUAGAUGAUUAUGCAUACUGUACCUGUUAAUUGUUCCAUAAGACUACAUGAGUAUCAUAAGAACAUAUUGGUAUUUAGAUUUGUUGACCCUGCACAGCUCCUGCAGUGUAAGGGAACACAGCCAUUUUUAUAAGAAGUCUGCACUGUAUGAAAAAAACAAGCUUUAAACAUGAGAUGCAUAUUUCUUUUUCAGAUCAACAAGAAAGCAUAGAUUGGAACUUAGUGCUUGCUGUCAGAGCUAGCUGACAAAUUAAGGAAGAGAUUAUUCCUUGACAAAAACAAGAAAAAAGAUAGCAUGUCUUGAAUAGGAGAAAAGAAAAAUAGACAGGACCCAAUUCAAGUCAGGGAAAACAGAAGGAAAUGGAGAAACUAUUUAUAUUGGAAAUCAUGCUUUGCCUUUUUUUUUUUUUUUUUUUUUAAGCUAUAGACUGGUAGCCUUUCCAAAGUUGAAUGUGGGUUUUGUUGCUUCUGAAGAUUACUUUCCACUUGAAAAACAUGACCAAAUUUUGCCAAAAAGCUCACUUGUUUCUAGCUUAUGCGUUGGACAAGUAGUGGCAGCCUGUUAUAAAGACCCUGUUAUUAAAAAGUUACCUUCUAUGCUGAAGUUUGAGAAAAGGGAAACAAGGCAAACUGGGAAGACCAGCAUAAUAAAAUCCAAUUGAAGUAAAGAUAAUGUACAGUUGGUACUGUGAAAAGGAAGCUGUAGCCUGAGGCAAUGGAGUACUGAAAACAUGGAAGACUGCGAGAAAGCAA
This is a long non-coding RNA of Strigops habroptila (Kakapo), 1311 nucleotides long. RefSeq lists it as uncharacterized. Lineage: Eukaryota; Metazoa; Chordata; Aves; Psittaciformes; Psittacidae. The transcript has 2 exons. The record is from RefSeq and is a predicted model, not a curated record.